UACGGAGGGUGCAAGCGUUAAUCGGAAUUACUGGGCGUAAAGCGCACGCAGGCGGUUUGAUAAGUCAGAUGUGAAAGCCCCAGGCUUAACCUGGGAACUGCAUCUGAUACUGUCAAGCUUGAGUGCGGUAGGGGGGGGGAGAAUUCCAAGUGUAGCGGUGAAAUGCGUAGAGAUUUGGAGGAACACCGGUGGCGAAGGCGGCCCCCUGGAC
This 211-nucleotide ribosomal RNA is filed under the name uncultured bacterium. RNAcentral describes it as "partial 16S ribosomal RNA". It matches the Rfam family "Bacterial small subunit ribosomal RNA", at positions 524 to 734 of the family's 1533-position model. The record is from RNAcentral.